GGAAGAUCAUUACCGAGUGCGGGCCCUCGCGGCCCAACCUCCCACCCUUGUCUCUCUACACCUGUUGCUUUGGCGGGCCCACCGGGGCCACCUGGUCGCCGGGGGACGCACGUCCCCGGGCCCGCGCCCGCCGAAGCGCUCUGUGAACCCUGAUGAAGAUGGGCUGUCUGAGUACGAUGAAAAUUGUCAAAACUUUCAACAAUGGAUCUCUUGGUUCCGGCAUCGAUGAAGAACGCAGCGAAAUGCGAUAAGUAAUGUGAAUUGCAGAAUUCCGUGAAUCAUCGAAUCUUUGAACGCACAUUGCGCCCCCUGGCAUUCCGGGGGGCAUGCCUGUCCGAGCGUCAUUUCUGCCCUCAAGCACGGCUUGUGUGUUGGGUGUGGUCCCCCCGGGGACCUGCCCGAAAGGCAGCGGCGACGUCCGUCUGGUCCUCGAGCGUAUGGGGCUCUGUCACUCGCUCGGGAAGGACCUGCGGGGGUUGGUCACCACCAUAUUUUACCACGGUUGACCUCGGAUCAGGUAGGAGUUACCCGCUGAACUUAAGCAUAUCAAUAAGCGGAGGAAAAGAAACCAACCGGGAUUGCCUCAGUAACGGCGAGUGAAGCGGCAAGAGCUCAAAUUUGAAAUCUGGCCCCCUUGGGGUCCGAGUUGUAAUUUGCAGAGGAUGCUUCGGGUGCGGUCCCCGUCUAAGUGCCCUGGAACGGGCCGUCAUAGAGGGUGAGAAUCCCGUCUGGGAUGGGCGGCCGCGCCCGUGUGAAGCUCCUUCGACGAGUCGAGUUGUUUGGGAAUGCAGCUCUAAGCGGGUGGUAAAUUUCAUCUAAAGCUAAAUACUGGCCGGAGACCGAUAGCGCACAAGUAGAGUGAUCGAAAGAUGAAAAGCACUUUGAAAAGAGAGUUAAACAGCACGUGAAAUUGUUGAAAGGGAAGCGUUGUCCACCAGACUCGCCCGGGGGGGUUCAGCCGGCACGUGUGCCGGUGUACUCCUCUCCGGGCGGGCCAGCAUCGGUUUGGGCGGCUGGUGAAAGGCCCCGGGAAUGUAACACCCUCCGGGGUGCCUUAUAGCCCGGGGUGCCAUACAGCCAGCCUGGACCGAGGCCCGCGCUUCGGCGAGGAUGCUGGCGUAAUGGUGGUCAACGGCCCGUCUUGAAACACGGACCAAGGAGUCUAACAUCUAUGCGAGUGUUCGGGUGUCAAACCCGUCCGCGCAGUGAAAGCGAACGGAGGUGGGAGCCCCUCGGGGUGCACCAUCGACCGAUCCUGAUGUCUUCGGAUGGAUUUGAGUAAGAGCAUAGCUGUUGGGACCCGAAAGAUGGUGAACUAUGCCUGAAUAGGGCGAAGCCAGAGGAAACUCUGGUGGAGGCUCGC
Molecule: small RNA, 1363 nt
Filed under: Talaromyces angelicae
Lineage: Eukaryota; Fungi; Ascomycota; Eurotiomycetes; Eurotiales; Trichocomaceae
Description: eukaryotic LSU rRNA
Rfam family: Eukaryotic large subunit ribosomal RNA (bases 504-1363)
Source: RNAcentral